AUGCACGCUGACAGAAUGCUUAACACAUGCAAGUCGAUGGGGAAGUGGUGCUUGCACCAUGGUAACCAUGGCGGACGGGUGAGUAACGCGUAAGGAACUUGCCUGCGGGACUGGGAUAACAGCAGGAAACUGCUGAUAAUACCGGAUAAGGUCAUUAAGCUGCAUAGCUUAGUGAUGAAAGGAGACGCCUGCGGAGAGCCUUGCGUCCUAUUAGCUAGUUGGAGGGGUAACGGCCCACCAAGGCGAAGAUAGGUAGCCGGCCUGAGAGGGUGGACGGCCACAAGGGGACUGAAAUACGGCCCUUACUCCUACGGGAGGCAGCAGUGGGGAAUAUUGGACAAUGGGGGCAACCCUGAUCCAGCAAUUCUGUGUGCACGAAGACGGUUUUCGGAUUGUAAAGUGCUUUCAGCAGGGAAGAAGGAAGUGACGGUACCUGCAGAAGAAGCGACGGCUAAAUACGUG
Molecule: ribosomal RNA, 462 nt
Filed under: uncultured bacterium
Lineage: Bacteria
Description: partial 16S ribosomal RNA
Rfam family: Bacterial small subunit ribosomal RNA
Source: RNAcentral